Molecule: long non-coding RNA, 1094 nt
Organism: Apodemus sylvaticus (European woodmouse)
Lineage: Eukaryota; Metazoa; Chordata; Mammalia; Rodentia; Muridae
Exons: 3
Source: RefSeq, a predicted model, not a curated record
CCUCUGCCAGGGUCCAUCUCCAGAAGAUCACCUGCUAGCUUUUAGCUUCUCCUAGAUGGCUCCUGCCACACUUCUAUCAGACUCCUGAACCAUACAGCCCUUUUAUCUUGGUGCGUUGGCCGGGAAUGAGAAACACCAUGGGAUAUUAAGCCUCUUUCACCAAUGGUCCAGGCCCUUGCCAUAUCCAGGACAGCUCCAGAGAAGCAACCUUCAGAUGCUCCAAUCUCCUCUCAGCUUCUCCAGAUGCAGACAGAUUCUACUGGACCUGUUCUCCUGACCUAUCUUCAAAUGGCUCUAAAAACCCUGGACAGCAAAGAAGCAGCCAGUCCUCCUGAGACUGGACAAUCAUCCCCCAUAACCCUUUCUCUAGGUUCCCCAGAGCCACACCGCCCCAAUGUCAGCAUGAAGCAGCCAGAUCUCAACAACGACCCUAUUCCUGCUUCGCCAUAUUUGCCGUCACUUCUUUUCUUUUUUCUUUUUCUUUUAUUAAUUAAUCAAACAUUGGAUAAUGUUGGGGUUUUGUCUAAGCUCCACCCCACACCUACCUGGCAAUAGCCAGGUAUGCCCUGUCCCAGAGAUCUGGCCCACUAUAAGAGAUCUAAGCUCCUCCUCUCCCUCUUUGUUCUCCCACUCUCCCACACUCUCUCACAUCUCUGCCCCUGGGGCUCUUCCCCCCUCCUCGUGGUCAUGGCCAGCCUCCACUCUCUCUCUCUUCUCUCUCUCUCUCUCUCCCUCUCUCUCUCUACCUCUCUCUACCACUAACCCCCAUCCCCUACUCUGAAUAAACUCUAUUCUAUACCAUAUCUGUGUGUGUGUGGUCCUCAGGGGCAGAGGUGCCCAGGCAAGGGCCCACCUGGACACCUUUCCCCACGCCACCUACCACACUCACGUAACUCCCUAUACUCUCCACUUUUAAGCCCUUUCAUCUUGGUGCUGAAAGUCCUUUCAAUGGUCACUUGAUCUUUGACAAAGGUGCUACAACCCUCCGAUGGAAAAAAGAUAGCCUUUUCAACAAAUGGUGCUGGUUCAACUACAGGACAGCAUGCAGAAGAAUGCAAAUCGAUCCAUUCUUAUCUCCGUGUACUAAGCUCAAG